CGUAAAGUUCGGGAGUGCCGUUAAAAGUAUCGCGCGUAAAAGUGCGGGAGUGCCGUUAAAAGUGUCGCGCGUAUUAAUCAAUGAACAACCCUAACAAUCUGAGAGGAGGAGGAGGCCUAGGAGAGGUAUCGGGUGCCGGUAGAGCAACUCUAGGGCAUACGAUUAUAGACUUGUAGCAUUCUUCGAAAUCGAUGAUGCAUGUAAACAACUAUCGUGAGGCACACGAGAAUUUUUUAUUGAAAUCGUCUUGCUUCAUCAACUCAAAAUAAGGAAAUAUCUCUAGGCGGUAUCUCAGGCAACAUGGUGCUCCAGUGAAUGUAGUCGACCUUCUAAUUAUGGAUACGGAAAAUGUAUGUAUAUACGUCACUGCUGUCUGCUUAAUUUUACAUCCUCGAGCACAUCGGUGAAAAAUGUCAUCUCAUCGGACUGGUAUCGACUAUCGUUGAGGGUGGAUAUUGGAGAACGAAUAAAGAACUAAAACAGGGAUACGGAAAAUUAACAUCGAUAAACAGAAAGAGAGAGAGAGAGAAAGUUGCUCGCCAUGCUCUCGUUGAUUUUGACAAAGAUGAUGCUUCGUGAUCUGUCAUGUCACGGAUCUCUCAUCACGCGCCGAUCGUCUCCGUGGCGGAGGUUUCUCGAGGAAGCUGGAAGAAACGAAACAUCCCCUAAACAGGUGAUACGAGAACUAUAUCUUCCUCGUUCGGGAGGCAGCGUUUAAUUUAACAGGAUGAACCGAUCGAAUGUUCGAUUUGACAUUUCGCGAUGUCGGUAUGUAAACGCAUACGUACGACGUCGCGGGACGUCGACAGGAACCGAAGGGUGGCUGGAACCGGAUGCGUUCUCGCUAUCCUCGCCUUUUUCGCGCACACAAACGGUCCGCACGACGAUCAAUUAAUUUACCGUGCCGGAUCUUCGCGCACGCGGCACUCGAUGCCUCGGGAUGACCGAGACGCGGAGGAGAGCCCCGUGUUCUCGCAGAGACGUUCUCCACUUUUCGACGCUUCCGUGUCCGAGAGGCCACUGACAGAACUCCGAGAUCUUCCGUCCUGCUCGACCGUCCCUCGUCCGACCCCGUCGUACCAUUCACUCUCACGCUCUGUCCCUCUCUCUCGUUAGGAUUGUCAGGAAGGAGGCCGUGGCACGGAGAGGGUGCGCGAUGUGGAAGCGGGAGAGAGUGAGAGGCUUUAUCGACCCGUCACAGGGCCGGUCGAGAGGAGGGAACCCCGUGGCUUCGAGAAAUUCAGAUUUUAUUUCAAGUGACAAACAAUGGGGAGAUUCGUGAAUAAGCUACUGAAGAAGAAACUGAUGAAAAACUUCAUUUUAGAUAACCAUUCAAUCAUUUUUGGUGCAUUAGAGUAAAUGGAAAAUUUUCAAAUUGAUCGAGAGGUUUUA
Nylanderia fulva is the source of this 1392-nucleotide non-coding RNA. Lineage: Eukaryota; Metazoa; Arthropoda; Insecta; Hymenoptera; Formicidae. The record is from RefSeq and is a predicted model, not a curated record.